This 764-nucleotide ribosomal RNA is filed under the name uncultured bacterium. RNAcentral describes it as "bacterial SSU rRNA". It matches the Rfam family "Bacterial small subunit ribosomal RNA", at positions 8 to 798 of the family's 1533-position model. The record is from RNAcentral.
AGAGUUUGAUCAUGGCUCAGGAUGAAUGCUGGCGGCGUGCCUAACACAUGCAAGUCGAGCGGCAGCGAGGGGUGCUUGCACCCUGUCGGCGAGCGGCGAACGGCUGAGUAACGCGUAGGAAUUUGCCCCAAAGUGAGGAAUAACUGCCCGAAAGGGUAGCUAAUGCCGCAUAUGGUCUUCGGAUUAAAGGAUUUAUCCGCUUUGGGAGAAGCCUGCGUUGGAUUAGGUUGUUGGUAGGGUAAUGGCCUACCAAGCCGACGAUCCAUAGCUGGUCUGAGAGGAUGAUCAGCCAGACUGGAACUGAGACACGGUCCAGACUCCUACGGGAGGCAGCAGUGAGGAAUCUUCCACAAUGGGCGAAAGCCUGAUGGAGCAACGCCGCGUGAAGGAUGAAGGCUUUCGGGUUGUAAACUUCUUUUAUGAGUGAAGAAUAUGACGGUAACUCAUGAAUAAGCACCGGCUAACUACGUGCCAGCAGCCGCGGUCAUACGUAGGGUGCAAGCAUUAUCCGGAGUGACUGGGCGUAAAGAGUUGCGUAGGCGGUUUAAUAAGUGAAUAGUGAAACCUGGUGGCUCAACCAUACAGACUAUUAUUCAAACUGUUAAACUCGAGAAUGGUAGAGGUAACUGGAAUUUCUUGUGUAGGAGUGAAAUCCGUAGAUAUAAGAAGGAACACCAAUGGCGUAGGCAGGUUACUGGGCCAUUUCUGACGCUAAGGCACGAAAGCGUGGGGAGCGAACCGGAUUAGAUACCCCGGUAGUCCAA